AUUGAACGCUGGCGGCAUGCCUUACACAUGCAAGUCGAACGGCAGCACGGGAGCAAUCCUGGUGGCGAGUGGCGAACGGGUGAGUAAUACAUCGGAACGUGCCCAGUAGUGGGGGAUAGCCCGGCGAAAGCCGGAUUAAUACCGCAUACGACCUAUGGGUGAAAGCGGGGGAUCGCAAGACCUCGCGCUAUUGGAGCGGCCGAUGUCAGAUUAGCUAGUUGGUGGGGUAAAGGCCUACCAAGGCGACGAUCUGUAGCUGGUCUGAGAGGACGACCAGCACCACGGGAACUGUGACACGGUCCAGACUCCUACGGGAGGCAGCAGUGGGGAAUUUUGGACAAUGGGGGCAACCCUGAUCCAGCAAUGCCGCGUGAGUGAAGAAGGCCUUCGGGUUGUAAAGCUCUUUUGUCAGGGAAGAAACGGUCGUGGCUAAUAUCCAUGGCUAAUGACGGUACCUGAAGAAUAAGCACCGGCUAACUACGUGCCAGCAGCCGCCGUAA
This 500-nucleotide ribosomal RNA is filed under the name uncultured bacterium. RNAcentral's name for it is "partial 16S ribosomal RNA". It matches the Rfam family "Bacterial small subunit ribosomal RNA", at positions 30 to 523 of the family's 1533-position model. The record is from RNAcentral.